CGACCAGGAGCGAACAACACCUUCCUCCUUUCCAGCAGUGAGACCAUCAUCGCUGAUGUGGGACUUGGUAGAGUCCGCCGCCCCCACCCUUCUUUGUCAGGUGCGGUGCGUAGGCGUAGAUCCUCACUUACGACCGUGAGCUCUUUUUAAUCAGCAUGACAAAUAAUUGAAAAGCAAGAUGAUGUCUAUUAAUCAUCCUGUGUGACCUUGUGUUCGAUGGCUGCAACAUUUAUACACCAGUAUUGCUAUCGAUCGUACUGAUCAAACUAUGUUGCUAUCAGUAGGUGAUGGAGCUAGACAUGCAAGCAUCUAGCAACUAUGCUUUGCUUGGUCUGAAUUGGAUUAUGGUUUUGCAUUGGUGGCUAGCUCGGCCAGUCAAGCCAACAAAUGCAGAAGCCUCUUUAUGACAACAAAGAUUUCAGGCCAUGUGCAUAUCAUGUACUGUUGGGGGAAACAGUCCAAACGGUUGAGAUGGGAUUUCAGACUUGCAAGCAAGUGGUACCUGGCUUCCUUCUUUUUUUCACUAGAAAAAAUGUUCCUUCCUGUUUAACAAAAAAGAUAGAAAAUGAAAAAAGCCUCAAACAGGAACAACCAAGCACACAAACUGAAGAUUUAUACCAUUUACUGCCACCAAGGACUUAUUAUCUCACCGUUUCAACAAGUUUGGUGUAGUGCUGAAGGUACUCAUUGUCACUAAUGCCGCAACGGACCAGCCAACAGGUUCAUUUUAAUUUUAAAAUCUUUAGUGCUUAUUAUAGCUGAGCUAAGAUUUGUAUCAUGCUAUUCAUUUUACCCCUUUUUGGAAUAUAACUUGUUUAUUGAGACAUUCAUAAGGCUUCAAUGACACAUCUGUAUAUCUGCAGGUUAUAGGUGCUUAACAUUAGAUAAUUGCUCAAUGGCCAAAAAAUGUGAAUACAAUAAUUCAGGGCAUUUUAUACCAUUCUACACUAAGCUUGUGAGUGUUUCAAACUAUCAAUGAACAUUAUAUUUAUAAUAAUUGGUCAUAUUACAUAAGCCCCUCCAUUUGGUUGCUCUUUGCUGAUGUAAUCUGUGCAUGCCAAGUUUGAAUUCUUGAAUUGAUGUUUUUUAGUUGAAUUAUGGUCUAAUGUCACUGCACUUGAUGCAGCAAAAACAUAGGGUCCUGUGUACAUGUUAUGUUUUAUAUGUAUAUAUGGGUUUUGGAGAAGUUCCGUCUCGCUGUCAUUAUCCCCCCCCCCCCACAAAAAAAACUAAAAUGUCGAGCUAGGUUCGGCAAAACACGUAUGUUUAUCCUGAUAUGUUUGUGCCCUCACCUGAAAUAAAUUCUUACUGUUCCCAGUCUUACAUGCUAUUUGUAUGGAGCCUAACAUCUCCGUCUCCAUGACCACAGAUGGGAGACGGAGUAGUUGCUGGGCUGUUGAUUGGGGACUGCAGUGACCGGCUGACCGCCUCCGUGUCCAUGCCUCUAGAAUUUGGGACUUCUAUGAUCUUAAAGAUGAGACAAGGCUGCUGCAUAGUGACUUGGUGUUGCUUGAUAUGAUGAAGAGUACGUUGUGUAGCGUUUUUACUCAUAAUACAGUGAUCAAGUAAUUACAUAGGGCACAAUGUUUACACCAUCUGUAGAAUAUAAUGCAAAGGUCGCAAUAGCUAUGAAUAUAGUUAGACGGGCUGUAGCUAUCACAUAAAUAGGACUAGCAAAUCUCAGAUAAGUUGUUUCGAAACAUUAUCUUCCAUAGGGCGCCCGUAAGGGCGCGGUCUAUUCUAGUGUAUAGAUAAUUUAUAGUGUCUAGCCGCGUACUGAUAUUUUUCUACUGUUAUUGUAUAGGAUUUAGCCAUUUAGGGUUCAUGUUAGUGCAUAGAAAUAUCAUUUUGCAAAAUUAUUUAGAUGGUAUAUGUAUAGUACUAUUUAUGUUAGUGUUAGAUGGUAGUACUAUUUACAUAAUUAUUUAGAUGUUUCUUUUCUUUGGUGUUUAUUUAUUUGUUACUCAUGUGUUUCUGCUUAUUUCAUUUCAUAUCUAUACAUAGGUAUAUGUGUAUGGACUAGACCUAUAUACCGGAUGCUUCAACUGUGGAUGGUGCUUAUGACUCCUCAUGCUAAAAAUGCAGUUGACUAGGCCCAUUUUCUUAUCUUUCGUAUCAUAACUUAUUAAUUUAUUUCACUAUGUAGGGUUUGGUACAGUGUCGGUGGUCACCGACUCACCGUGCACAGAGAAGGCUAUUUCAGUUGUUUGUGUUCUAUAUAUCUUGAACUUUCAAAUAGUGUGAAUCUCUUUAUUAUGUAAAACCUUUAUAAGUUUAAACUUGUAUGUCACUAUUGUGAAGUUAUAUUGCUUUGUGUUACAUUUGGACUGUAU
This 2333-nucleotide long non-coding RNA is filed under the name Zea mays. RNAcentral's name for it is "long non-coding RNA (ZMAY_LNC005242)". Lineage: Eukaryota; Viridiplantae; Streptophyta; Magnoliopsida; Poales; Poaceae. The record is from RNAcentral.